This 318-nucleotide unclassified non-coding RNA is filed under the name Hevea brasiliensis (rubber tree). The record is from RNAcentral. Lineage: Eukaryota; Viridiplantae; Streptophyta; Magnoliopsida; Malpighiales; Euphorbiaceae.
ACUGCCAUCAUUUUUUGGGCAUGCACCAGUUAUUAUAGCUUCAAGUUAACAAAUUACGGUUUACCUGUGAAGUUAUAGGAACUCUCACAAAAUAGCUUGAUUAACCGUAUUAGAUUAGUCAUAAUUUAUUAAAAAUAAUUAAGAACUUUGCACACAAAGGACUGAAAGGAGCUCAGCGGUUAUGGAUUUCGAGUUAGAAUCUCACUAACUACUGUUGGAGUUCCCAAAUUAUGAGGAUUUUGAUUAAUAAUAAUAAUAAGGGAUCUUCACUUUUACAUAGAGCAUAAAUAUAAAAGAUGCUAUUAUCAUUUUAGCUAA